Molecule: ribosomal RNA, 274 nt
Filed under: uncultured bacterium
Lineage: Bacteria
Description: partial 16S ribosomal RNA
Rfam family: Bacterial small subunit ribosomal RNA
Source: RNAcentral
CUGCGGAGGGUGCAAGCGUUAUUCGGAAUCACUGGGCGUAAAGGACGCGUAGGCGGGUUGGCAAGUCAGAUGUGAAAUCCUACAGCUUAACUGUAGAACUGCAUUUGAAACUGCUAACCUAGAGUAUGGGAGGGGGAGAUGGAAUUAGUGGUGUAGGGGUAAAAUCCGUAGAUAUCACUAGGAAUACCGAAAGCGAAGGCGAUCUCCUGGAACAUAACUGACGCUAAGGCGUGAAAGCGUGGGGAGCAAAAAGGAUUAGAAACCCUAGUAGUCC